RNAcentral lists this ribosomal RNA (253 nucleotides) under uncultured bacterium. Its description in RNAcentral is "partial 16S ribosomal RNA". It matches the Rfam family "Bacterial small subunit ribosomal RNA", at positions 524 to 776 of the family's 1533-position model. The record is from RNAcentral.
GACGAACCGUGCGAACGUUAUUCGGAAUUACUGGGCGUAAAGCGCGUGUAGGCGGAUCCAUAAGUCGGGCGUGAAAUCCCCAGGCUCAACCUGAGAACUGCGCUCGAAACUGUAGGUCUAGAGUGUCGGAGAGGAUGGCGGAAUUCCUGGUGUAGAGGUGAAAUUCGUAGAUAUCAGGAGGAACACCGGUGGCGAAGGCGGCCAUCUGGACGACAACUGACGCUGAGACGCGAAAGCGUGGGGAGCAAACAGG